This 1270-nucleotide long non-coding RNA is filed under the name Capsicum annuum. Its description in RNAcentral is "long non-coding RNA (CANN_LNC019334)". Lineage: Eukaryota; Viridiplantae; Streptophyta; Magnoliopsida; Solanales; Solanaceae. The record is from RNAcentral.
GAACAUCUUUGGAGAUGAAUUAAAGUCAUAAAAAUCUCCUUACUCAAAGUUGAGUUGAUAACUUUUCUAUCGAUUGAGUUUUAGUAAACAUUCUUAAUUGGGUCAACUUCUAAUGACCAUUACUCCUAGAAUAUAAUGAUUUAGGUAGCCUACUACCUACCAAUCUAAAUCUCUUUGAGUCUUUUUUCUAACACAACUGACCGUUCGUCAAUUCAAAUUCGGAGUAAGAAGAUAUAAGCGUUUUAGUGAAAUGUUGUCCAAGGUGCAUAAUUGCCCAUACAAGGUACAACUGAUGCCACGCGAUUGGCCGUGCAAGGCAAUGCUGGGGCGGUGUGAUUUGAUGCGACCCCCCUCCCAAAAUUACUCGACGUGAAAAUACAUUUUUCGUCUAUCUGUGACUAUCAGCUACCACUUUUUCCAAAGGGAUUUGUACACAAACUCUUGCGUAUCGCCCUUUUAGAGUGGCUGAUGUGCAAGAAUCUACCUUAACCGAUCUUCCUAUUUUUUCUACUGAUUCUCUCUAAAAAUGGCCCUAUUAUAGAAUUUUAUGGGUAACUGAGGAAGCCUAAGCCAAAUAGCUGUGGGGAGGACAUAGAUUCAGGGGGGAUAAAAUUUGUUUCCCGAUGUAGACUUAGAGAAAAACUCCUGUUAUGAACCAAGGUCCAUUCUGGAGGGCUUUCCUUUGAUUUUCCUCAGAAUCGAAUUUGACUGUAUAAAAUUCAAAUCCCAGAUCUACGAGGAGAAGGUUCCCUUUCAGCUUUCAGAGCCCAAAUAUUUUGUUUUAAGAUAUUGGUGGUUGAAUUUCUUCUCAAAGGCUUUUAUUAUGACAGAAUAUCUCCAUCGGGCGUAUGAUCUUUUCUUUUUCUCUGUGGAGAUAUGAAUAUAUUCAUCACCCAGAUCUAUACCACUGGGUUUUCCUCAUUUUGGAAGAUGGCGUAGGUAAAGGAAGAGAGGAGAUUUUUGUUUCCUUUACUAUAUCACUGUGUGUGACUUUUUUCAUUAUUCUAUUGCCAUUAGGCAUACAUCUAUAUCUAGUGGGGCUGGUAGGGACGGUUAUUUAGUGUUAGUAGAAGAUUUGAUCAUGCUUACGUCAGUGGUGUUAAAUUUAAAGAGUGGUGGGACUUCCUCCCUCUAAAAUUUCUAAAGGUUUUUAUCUUCUCCCAUUUUUCACUAAAAACACUUUCAAUUUAUUAAGAAAACAUUAUUACUUUCUCCGUUACAUAUUAGUAGGUUCUCUUACUAAAAAUAUUUAUUUCAUUUUAGUUAUUCA